CCAGACUCCUACGGGAGGCAGCAGUGAGGAAUAUUGGUCAAUGGGCGGAAGCCUGAACCAGCCAAGUCGCGUGAGGGACGACGGCCCUACGGGUUGUAAACCUCUUUUGCCGGGGGACAAACGGCGGCACGCGUGCCGUCCUGAGGGUACCCGGAGAAAAAGCAUCGGCUAACUCCGUGCCAGCAGCCGCGGUAAUACGGAGGAUGCGAGCGUUAUCCGGAUUUAUUGGGUUUAAAGGGUGCGUAGGCGGGAUGCCAAGUCAGCGGUCAAAUACGGGGGCUCAACCCCGUCGUGCCGUUGAAACUGGCGUUCUUGAGUGAGCGAGAAGUAUGCGGAAUGCGUGGUGUAGCGGUGAAAUGCAUAGAUAUCACGCAGAACUCCGAUUGCGAAGGCAGCGCACCGGCGCCCUACUGACGCUCAGGCACGAAAGCGUGGGUAUCGAACAGGAUUAGAUACCCCUGUA
RNAcentral lists this ribosomal RNA (463 nucleotides) under uncultured bacterium. Its description in RNAcentral is "bacterial SSU rRNA". It matches the Rfam family "Bacterial small subunit ribosomal RNA", at positions 331 to 792 of the family's 1533-position model. The record is from RNAcentral.